UCACAAUAACGAGUGGUCCAAACAUCUGACAUUUACACCAGAAUUUCCGAUAUGUUGGCAACUAGCUUUCCUUCCUUGGAUGUCUGAGUGA
Molecule: small nucleolar RNA, 91 nt
Organism: Panthera pardus (leopard)
Lineage: Eukaryota; Metazoa; Chordata; Mammalia; Carnivora; Felidae
Gene: SNORD14
Rfam family: Small nucleolar RNA SNORD14
About the family: U14 small nucleolar RNA (U14 snoRNA) is required for early cleavages of eukaryotic precursor rRNAs. In yeasts, this molecule possess a stem-loop region (known as the Y-domain) which is essential for function. A similar structure, but with a different consensus sequence, is found in plants, but is absent in vertebrates.
Source: Ensembl